Molecule: transfer RNA, 73 nt
Filed under: Stegodyphus mimosarum
Lineage: Eukaryota; Metazoa; Arthropoda; Arachnida; Araneae; Eresidae
Rfam family: tRNA
About the family: Transfer RNA (tRNA) molecules are approximately 80 nucleotides in length. Their secondary structure includes four short double-helical elements and three loops (D, anti-codon, and T loops).
Source: Rfam by way of RNAcentral
GCCUUCGUGGUGUAGUGGUAAGCACACUCGACGCAUAUUCGAGAGGUCCGUGGUUCGAGUCCCGACGAGGGCA